RNAcentral lists this long non-coding RNA (778 nucleotides) under Parus major (Great Tit). RNAcentral's name for it is "lncRNA (ENSPMJG00000007003.1)". Lineage: Eukaryota; Metazoa; Chordata; Aves; Passeriformes; Paridae. The record is from RNAcentral.
CUCUCCCAUGCAGCAGCACCCUGCACUGAACUGCGCUUGCAACAAGUGCAAGAUAAAGCAGAACUGAAAGGUGUGGGGGAAAAGCUAGAUCAUACUCUGGAUCUCUCACCUUUCAGAACAAAGAAGGCCAGAGUUGGUCAGAGCAGGUCAGAGUGCCAGCUCCCAGAUAAGCAGGUCUCUGCUGCAUUCAUCACCAGGAGGUCUGUCAAACACCACAGUGCAAGAGACCCUCAGACAGGAACAUCUGGCAGAGACCAACAUGAAGGACCAGCUGUUUGCUUCAGGACUGGCUUGGCUGAACAUUGUGCAGCUGAGCACCGGGAGAAGGAGAAGGAGACUGUCGAGGAAGAAAUCCCACAGAAGCAAUAAAUCUGAAGGAACAGGACCGGGCUUUUAGUUCCUUUGAUUCGGACACAGGACAGGAGCAAGGAGCCUGGACAGAGGCAGUAUACCAAAAGAUGAAUGGGGUUUUUGUUUUAGCCUAAUAUAGACACAAACUCUUCUACAAUUAUCCUCCUGCACAAAUGAUCCUGGUUCUGCCCUGAAGGCCUUCUGAAGCCUUGUCUACUUGCUGUGCAUGACCUGAAACCAUUGCUCCCUCGUAUUCAGCAGUAUCACUAUGAUUUUCUGUUUGUGCUCCUCCAUGGAUCCUGCAAUUACUGUCCUAAGUUUCCCCAAAACAGGAAUGUUUUGUGUUGUUGUUUCUAAAAUAAUAGUUUCCAGAGGCCAUUCUCUACCACACAAUAAACAUUUGAAAGCAGCAUUGUGUUUUGAGGCA